Molecule: RNA transcript, 3144 nt
Organism: Macadamia integrifolia
Lineage: Eukaryota; Viridiplantae; Streptophyta; Magnoliopsida; Proteales; Proteaceae
Gene name: pentatricopeptide repeat-containing protein At4g16390, chloroplastic-like
Exons: 2
Source: RefSeq, a predicted model, not a curated record
UUCUUCAAUAGAGAAACUCCAAAUGUCUUCUUCUUCUUCUUCUUCUUGUUCUUCUGUGGUAGUAAAGGAUUGAAACCUAAACAUAAAAGGAGAAAGGGGAAGAGAAAUGGCUUCCCAUCUAUCUUCGGUGUCCAAUUUCUGCCAUAGCCACCUUACUCUAUGCAAACAUUCUUCUCCUCCACCUGUAUUCUCUGUCACUCCAUCUCUGUUUUCUUCUAGGCCUAAAAUCUUCAACUACCCUCUCAAUCUGAACUCCAGCUCAUCUCAACCGGCGUGUUCUCUCUCUUCAGUCUCGCAGGUUUCUCUGCAAGACUCUAUCUCACAAGAAUCUCAAAGCCCAUCAUCCCCAAAUCCUCUUGUGUUACAAGAAGGGUCUCUGUACCCAGAUGGGAAAAACGCUCCUUCAUCCAAAAGCUAUAUUUGGGUGAACCCCUGGAGUCCCCGAGCUGCACAGUUUCGGAAGCAUUCGUACGAUUCCAGGUAUUCGUUACUGAGGAAACUUGCUGCGUCUCUGAAUUCAUGCAACCCAACUGAGGAAGAUGUCGUCAAAGUGUUGUCCAGUCUUGGCGAGAAUCCCUUGGAGCAAGAUGCCGUUGUUAUUCUUAAUCACAUGGAGAACUCAAUAACGGCGCCUCUUGCUCUUAAGUUCUUCCAACAGAAACUGAAACCAAAGCGAGAGGUAAUUCUUUAUAAUGUGACAUUAAAAGUGUUCAGAAAGUGUAGGAUUUUUGAUAGAGCAGAGAAGCUGUUCGAAGAAAUGCUCGUGAGGGGAGUCAAACCUGACAACGUUACAUUCUCCACUAUAAUCAGCUGCGCGAGGCACUGUUCUUUGCCCAAUAAGGCUGUUGAGUGGUUUGAGAAGAUGCCAGACUUCGGGUGCGAUCCCGAUAAUAUGACGCACUCGACCGUGAUAGAUGCCUAUGGUCGAGCAGGUAACGUUGAGAAGGCCCUCAGCUUGUACAAUCGCGCAAAGACGGAGAGGUGGCGUAUUGAUUUGGUCACGUUCUCAACGGUGAUCAAGAUAUAUGGAAGCUGGGGUAAUUUUGAUGCGGCCUUAAAUGUCUUUGAAGAGAUGAAGGCUUUAGGAGUGAAACCAAAUUUACUCAUCUACAACACUUUGUUGGAUGUCAUCGGGAGAGCUAAGAGGCCAUGGCAGGCAAAGUCUCUCUAUAAAGAUAUGAUCAACAAUGGGCUUUCGCCGAAUAGGACAACCUACUCUGCUCUUCUACGAGCGUAUGGUAGAGCCCGUCACGCCCAAGACGCACUUGAUGUGUAUAGAGAGAUGAAGAGCAAGGAUUUAGAGUUGAAUGUGGUUCUCUACAACACCCUCUUGGCGAUGUGUGCUGAUAUGGGUUACACUGAUGAGGCUAUUGAGAUCUUUGAGGACCUGAAGAGGUCUCAGACUUCUAAGCCUGACAGUUGGACAUUUUCAUCCGUGAUUACCAUAUAUUCUUGUAGUGGGAAAGUUUUGGAGGCUGAAAGCAUGUUGAAUGAAAUGUUAGAAGCAGGUUUUGAGCCUAAUAUAUUUGUGUUGACAUCGCUUAUCCAGUGCUACGGGAAAGUUAAUCGAACAGAUGAUGUCAUCAAGACUUUCAAUCGACUUCUAGAAUUGGGUAUAGCUCCUGAUGAUCGGUUCUGUGGUUGUCUUCUUAAUGUGAUGACCCAGGCGCCAAAAGAAGAACUUGAUAAGUUGAUUGGGUGCAUUGAAAGGGCUAAUCCAAAACUGGGUGCUGUGGUCAAACUAGUGGUGGAAAAGGAAGCCAGUAAUGGGUUGUUUAAACAAGAAGCCACUGAGCUCUUCAGUUUAAUUGACACAGAUGUCAAGAAGGGUUAUUGCAAUUGCUUGAUUGAUCUGUGUGUUAACCUCAAUUUGUUGGAAAGAGCUUGUGAGCUAUUGGACCUGGGGCUCAUGCUUGAUAUAUACAGAGGUAUCCAGUCUAAGUCUCCGACACAGUGGUCACUAAAUUUGAAGUCUCUCUCCCUUGGGGCAGCCAUGGCUGCUAUGCAUAUAUGGGUCAGUGACUUAUCCAAAGCUCUAGAGAAUGGGGAGGAACUGCCAUUGUUGCUCGGAAUAAAUACUGGUCAUGGAAAGCACAAAUACUCAGACAAAGGAUUGGCAAGUGCCUUAGAAUCCCACUUGAAGGAAUUGAAUGCCCCAUUCCAUGAGGUCCCUGAUAAAAUUGGCUGGUUUUUUACUACAAAUAUUGCCGCCAAGUCAUGGUUGAAGUCGAGGAGCUCAGCUCAACUGGUGGCUGCUUAGGCUUAUUUCUGGAGAGGGGCUUUUUCAGUUUUCUGCAAAAAUUAGAUUCAGAAGUCCAUUUCUAUUAAACUUUUCAUAAUCUUGGCUCCUCUUAUUAGGUAUCCAAGUCCCGUGGAUCCAUAUUGACCCCACAACCUCAUGGAUCAGUCAUACCAAGGUUGAAUGAGAAUCAUUCAAUUUUCAGUGAAAGCAGUGAAGAGCACUAAACACCCCGUGUGAGUGGCCCCAUGGAGGUAAGAGGAGUCGAACUCAAAACACACGCUUCCUGAUGCUAGCCAGACUAGUAAAUGAUUUACAGACUUUUGUUGUAAGACUAUUUUUGCUGGCCAUUUUUUGAUUUUUCUUUCUGAAAACUCAUUCUGGUGUUUCAGUAAUUUCAGAAUGUAAAUUUGUCCAUUCUGUUGAUACAUAAAACUUGGGCAAGAGAAUGCUGCACCCCCUCCCCCUCCCCCUCCCCCUCGCCCUCGCCCUCGCCCUCGCCCUCGCCCUCGCCCUCGCCUUCGCCUUUGCCCUUUACUCCCCUACAGCUGGGCGUAGAAAAUACCCAGCAGCACUGUUGCAGCCUGAAAAUACCCAGCCAGAAUGUGUGGUGAUGAUGGUUAUUGGGGGACAGCCCCAGCCCAUGGAGGUUGGAUGCAGUAAGACGGGCUUUUGAUUCAAUGUUCUGGUGAUGCGAAAGAUCUGCAAAAUCCUUUUCUGAAUCUAGUUAAACAAUGAACCAUGAGACUAAUAGAGGUUUUGGUGCAAGGGUUUAUCAUUUAAAUCUGUAUAAAUAAUGUUACUGAUGUAGGAGGGAGUGCCCCAGACCACAAUUGCUGGCUUUGCUCUGUUUUGGAUCUUGUCUAAAUUCAUGUUUUUCUUCAAUUUUAUUGGUAUUUGAUUCU